This 460-nucleotide ribosomal RNA is filed under the name uncultured bacterium. Its description in RNAcentral is "partial 16S ribosomal RNA". It matches the Rfam family "Bacterial small subunit ribosomal RNA", at positions 338 to 795 of the family's 1533-position model. The record is from RNAcentral.
CCUACGGGUGGCAGCAGUGAGGAAUAUUGGUCAAUGGGCGCGAGCCUGAACCAGCCAAGUAGCGUGAAGGAUGACUGCCCUACGGGUUGUAAACUUCUUUUAUAAAGGAAUAAAGUGAGGCUCGUGUGCCUUUUUGUAUGUACUUUAUGAAUAAGGAUCGGCUAACUCCGUGCCAGCAGCCGCGGUAAUACGGAGGAUCCGAGCGUUAUCCGGAUUUAUUGGGUUUAAAGGGAGCGUAGAUGGGUUGUUAAGUCAGUUGUGAAAGUUUGCGGCUCAACCGUAAAAUUGCAAUUGAUACUGGCAGUCUUGAGUACAGUAGGGGUAGGCGGAAUUCGUGGUGUAGCGGUGAAAUGCGUAGAUAUCACGAAGAACACCGAUGGCGAAGGCAGCUUGCUAAACUGCCACUGACGUUGAGGCUCGAAAGUGUGGGUAGCGAACAGGAUUAGAUACCCGUGUAGUC